AUGAGCGACAGAUCGCCGUGCACCCUUCUGGUGCCCUUGGACAAGAGUUGCCUCUCCACAGCCGAGGGGAUCCAGGCUGACCUCGAGGGGAGCGACGUCGGCGCCAAGGUCGACGCCCUGAAGCGCGCCAUCAUGCUCCUCCUCAAUGGCUACACGGUCCCCAACCUCCUCGUCACCGUCGUCCGCUACGUCCUCCAAUCCAAGGAACACAUCAUCCAAAGGCUCCUCCUUCUCUACCUCGAGGUCGUCCACAAACGGGACAAAGUCUCCGGCAAGAUCAUCCCAGAGAUGAUCCUCAUCUCCCACAACCUACGCAACAACCUCCACCACCCCAAUGAGUACAUCCGCGGCGUGACACUGCGGUUCCUCCGUCGGCUGCGCGAGCCCGAGCUGCUUGAGCCGCUUAUGCCCUCUAUUCUUGCCAACCUCAACCACCCGCACCCUUUCGUCCGCCGACACGUGUUCUCUGCCAUCUCAGCGAUCUACCGUCGGCGUUAUGGCCGGCGGCUCAUCCCAGAUGCUCCUUCUGUUGUGGAGCGUGCUCUCGCCAUGGAACAUGACCCAACAGCACGGAGGAACGCAUUCCUCAUGCUCUGCGACUGCUCGCAGGUUCUGGCCACCAGUUACUUGCUCGCCAAUGCUGACCGCUUCGCCAAGUGGCCUGCCCCCCUCCAGAUGGUCGCCCUCGGUUUCGUUCGCAAAGUCCAUCGCAACCUCUGUUACAAGCCCUACAACCGUUGCAUCCGCGUUCUCAGGAAAAGGUUGCUUUGUAGGACUGGUAAUAAUGCAAGGAAAGUUCAGUUGCUGUCAUCCUGUCAGAGCUUCACAAAGAUGCUUGCGGAGAAGCAAUUCAGGAAGAAUGAGAAGAUGAGGGUUGAGUCACAGAAUUCCCAUGCAUAUCCUGAUGAUUCCGUUGAUUUCGACCACCUGAAGAGCAGGAGGGGAAUGUGCCAACUUGAGUUGGAAGAUGAGGUCCGAGAUUAUUUAAAGGCUGCAACGGGUGAAUUUAUGAAGGAUGCAGGUUGUGCAAACAAAUUGAACCCCCCUGUUCAGUUGACAGGGUUCAGUGAUCCUGUGUAUGCUGAAGGAUUUGUUACUGUUAAUCAAUAUUAUGAUACUGUACUUGAUAUUACAGUCAUAAACCGGACAAAAGAGACAAUGCGGAACCUGUAUUUGGAGUUUGCAACAUCGUGUAAAACCACAGUAGUUGAGCGCUCCCGGAACUACACCGUUGCUCCUCAGGCAGUCAAGAAAAUCCAGGCUAACAUUAAGCUUUCUUCAACAAACCUUGGAAUUAUAAUUAGUCGCAUCGUUUAUGAGACUUCAGAUGCAAUGGAGUCUUCAGAGGUGAUCCUAAAAGAUAUGUUCAUUAACAUUGCAGAUUAUAUGACACCUGCUACAUGUACUGAUGUAGCUUUCCGCAAUAUGUGGGCUGAAUGUUGUUGCAAAGUUAAGUUGAAGGUCAAUACUGUGCUUCAUGAUGAGAAGGAAUUUGUAUAUUUUAUAAUCAAGUCAACAAACAUGACGUGUCUAACACCAAUGUCUGUGCUUGAUGGGGACUGUGGAUUAGUUGCUGCCAAUCUCUACGCGAAGAGUGUGUUUGGUGAGGAUGCUUUGGUGAACAUCAGCGUCGAGAAGCAGGCCAACUGUAAACUCAGUGGCUGCAUCACUAUACGUGGUAAUGUCCAAGGACUGGUUCUUAAUUUGGCGCAUGCAGUUAUCGUUACACAGCAGGCUACAGUUGACGCAGCCAUGAGCUUGUCAGAAGUGUGUCACAAGUAUUGUGGUUAA
RNAcentral lists this ribosomal RNA (1791 nucleotides) under Triticum aestivum (bread wheat). RNAcentral's name for it is "partial small subunit ribosomal RNA". Lineage: Eukaryota; Viridiplantae; Streptophyta; Magnoliopsida; Poales; Poaceae. The record is from RNAcentral.